UGGCACCCUGAUCUGAGAUUUCCAGCCUCCAGAGCUAUGAGGAAACACUGAGGCUCAGAGAAGUUGAGUCACUUGGAUUACCCCCAGCUGAUAAGUGGCAGAACCGCGAUGGAAACUCAGUUUCUCAAUGUUUCCGAGUCAAAAUUACACUACAGCCCAGACAGCUUUCAAUUCACAAUCUCUUCGUUGAAUGACAGGAGAGAAGGAUAGGAGGAUAGGAGGAGAGAGCUGCUCAAAGGCUGCAGCUAUGGAACUCUGGCAACUUUGGGCCCUUGUUGGCAACAAUGGACUAGAGCUGAAAGCAAAUGCCCCCUCGAUGAAGAAACCAGCUCAUCCACAAACCACAGCGCAGCACGUCAGGAGUGCAAGAGAGGAAGUUAGGCUCACCAAGUUGCGAGGUCCUUAACAGCUGACAGGGCGAACCCUGUGAUCCUUCUCAAAUAUAUGUUAUGUUAACAUUUGCACUCGCAGCU
RNAcentral lists this long non-coding RNA (473 nucleotides) under Equus asinus (donkey). RNAcentral describes it as "lncRNA (ENSEASG00005029831.1)". Lineage: Eukaryota; Metazoa; Chordata; Mammalia; Perissodactyla; Equidae. The record is from RNAcentral.